GGCUGCGCGGCAGACGCUGCCGCCCACUCUGCUGGUCGCCGCUCGGAAGGGACGAGUCACGGGCGGUCACCCGAGGCCAGCGUGUCUGCCCCCCGCCAGAGAGCCAUCGCUCGAAGGACGCGAAGCUUUGCCCGACCGGGGUCCCCGAACGCUGUCCCUCUUGGCCGCAGCGCGUGGCAAACAGCUCCCAGUCUGCGUCACCACGAGCGGCGCUGCAGAAGGAAGAAUCAAUAAGACCCAGCCGCAGUCCCCCGCCUGCUGUCCCGCGGGGAGGUUAAUAAGAUGCAGCGCGCCGCGGAGGGUGUCCGCUUGGGGAGGCGGCCGGGUGGCGAUGACUUAGCCGGAUUCUCAAAGGACGGCUGGACGGGGGAAGGGCCGUGCAAGUAGCAGCCCGUUCCGAGGAGGAGGAUCAGGAAACGGGAUGGAGGAUCAUUUGUAUCCUCUGGGAAAACACUGAUAGGAUUUGAGGUCCGAGAGGUGGACAAGGGCCAGGAAAGCCCUUAAUUGUGCUGGGCUUCUGACCUACGUGGAUUCUUGCCUUUAGCACGUUCAGUGUGCCCUUUUAGUCAUUAGUACAGCAGUGAGUGUGAGUUACCAUUCUGUUUCCUGCUCAGGGAGAGAACCUGCACAGUAUAGGAUCAGACCUGGAUUCACCUGGACCGCUCCCUGGUUCCACCAGCUUUUAGUUGUGUGCCUUGAGCAAGACGCUGAAUCUUUGGGUCUCAAUUUUCCUCACCUGUAAACAGUAGCUAGUAUUUUUGUUUACAUCAUAGGCCUGUGAGUUGAUAGAGUUUCUAGCACAUAGUAGGCACCAUAUUGGAGCUAACAACCCCAUGCUGGGGAUUGAACUCAGGCAUAAGCUACCAUUGCGUUAUUUCCCCAUCUCUUUUUUAUUUUGAGACUGGUUCUCACUAAAUUGCCCAGACAAGCCUGGAACUUUGAUCCUCCUGCCUCAGCCUACUGAGUAACUGGGAUUCCAGGCCAGUGCAACCAUGCCCAGCUGACUUGUGUUAUUAACAUUAAGUAGCUGGAGUUCUUUUCUAACAAUCCAAACAUGUUCAGGGUGGUGCUUAAUUAAUGCAGCAAACACAAUCAAAUCAUGGGUUAAAAAAGAAGAAAAACCACAUUUUGCUAUUACAAAUAUUUUUUAGCAUAUUAGGGAAAAUGUGAGCAAAUAACGACAAGGUUUGGGGCAAAGGUAGAAGGGACCUGUUCUUGCCUGAGCUAGAGGAAAUGGGAAAGUUUGGGUCAUCCAAACUACAAUUUGUGGGAAAGGAUUAUAGGCAUAUGAACAACAACAGGACAAGACAAAUAGCGUUUUAGUCGUCCCAGUGGCCCACGCCUGUAAUCCCAGAGGCUGAAGCAGGGGGAUUGUAAAUUCAAAGUCAGCCUCAGCAAUUUAGUGAGACCCUGUCUCUAAAAUUUAAAAAAAAAAAAAAAAAAAAAAGGUGGGAUGUGGCCACAAGCAUCUGAAUAGUGGUUAUAAGGAUAGGAAAAGAUGGCAGUAUUGAGGUGGAAUGAAAAGAAAAGAGUCCUGGGCUUAGGAGUGCAGCUCAGUGUUAGCACACUUGCUUAGCAUGCAAGAGGCCCUGGGUUCAGUCCCCUGUAGUGGGGGCAUAAUCGCAAAAGUCUAGAGUUUAGGGUUUGGUGGGUUAAAGUUGUGCCACCAACUGCAAUGGGGCAUUCAAGCUGUAGCUAAAUUGUUAAGAAGUAUAACUUCUUGGAAGAACUUGAAAUUACAACUGUCCCUGUGGGACAGUGUGGUCUAAUGCAACCUCCCAAAAAAAUGUUACAGGAGUUUAUAUCCCAAAUGCCUGUCGUUGUCUGGAGUGGGCAGCAUUGUGUUAAUGUGAGAUCAGAAAUGAUGGCAUGAAUCUUUGCAAGAGCCCUGGUAGUCCUUUUACAGCUUAGUCUGACACCUGUCACAAAUGCUCAUCCAGGAUUACACUCAAAGAGGCAUAACCUCCCCAUUCAACUCCCAAGUGUCAGAGACUCAGAUAGGACUCAUAUAGGCCUACCAAGAAGAAGAAAGGGGAACACACUGUCCACCAGCAACUAGGUAAUGGGUGCCUGCCGGAAGUGCCCUCCAAAUAAGGCUGGACUCAGGUAUGUAACUCGCAUACAUUUGAGUAGCAGCUGUCCUAAAUGUGCAUGCUAAAGUUUGUUUUUGAGUAAGUGGAAAUAACUUGAAAUUACAUAGAGAACUAAAUUAUCAGAAAUUUGGUUGGUAGGGACUGGGGGUAUAGUUCAGUUGGUAGAGUACUUGCCUGGCAUGCACAAGGCUGUGGGUUCAAUCCCCAGCACCUCAAAAAAAGAAGAAAACCGGUUAGUAAACAAGGGUCAGAAAAUCUUAACUGGUGAUGUUAAGCUAUAAUAUGGUCAUCCCUCUCCACUAUAGGGUUACAUCUUAAAGGAAAAAACACUGUGAUUAAGCUUUUGGCCAGCAAUUCCUCUCCUAAAUAAAUUUAUUUGUCCUGAAAGUAGCUCUUGGUUAUCUACAGUGCUCACUUCAGUAGAAGCCCAGUGAGACUGAGAAAGGCCUGAGGGCACAUAGCUAGUAAACAGCCCCCAGCUGAAGUCUGGGUAUGACAGCCCUGCCUUAGAACACAAGCACUACAAAAGUCUUUCUCCCCUUGCUGUUUCACAAAGGAGGGAAACCAGACCUGGAAAGUAGGAGAUUGACACAAGGUUGCACAGCCAGUACCUGGGAGAGCUGGAAUUUGAAAAUCCAUGUGAUAAGUACGCACAUGAGCUCAUGUAUCACAAACAACUCUUAGUUCUGGUUCUUCUCAUUUUAAGGAUGAAGAAAUUGAGGUUUAGAAAGUUUUUAGAAAGAAUUUGCCUAAGAAUGGAAAACUUAGCAACAACAACAACAAAAAAAAACAGGCCUUCCUCUUAGGACCCAAAGUUGAAGUGUGAAAAGCUUAUGUGGGGGCUGGGGAUGUGGCUCAAGCGGUAGCGCACUCGCCUGGCGUGUGUGCGGCCCGGGUUCGAUCCUCAGCACCACAUACAAAAAAAAGAUGUGUCUGCCGAGAACUAAAAAAAAUAAAUAUUUAAAAAAAAAAAAAAAGCUUAUGUGGAAAAUGAUGCACAAACCAGUCUGGCUCCAAGGAUGGUCAGAAAUGAGGACUUAGGCAAAAAUGUGGAUUAGGGCAAUUGUGAAAGACUGAAGAAUGGGGUAAUCCCAGCUACUCUGGAGGCUGAGGCAGGAUCACAAGGUCAGGGCCAACCUGGGCAAUUUAGCAAGAGCUACCAUGUCUCUAAAAAGGGUAGGGUGUAGCUCAGUGGUAGAGCACUUGCCCAGCAUGUGUGAGGGCCUGGGAUCCAAUGCCAGCACUGCAGAAAGGCAGAGAUGAGCAAAUCCACAAGCAGUGCAGACCUCACAAAGAAAUUAGAUAAUUCAAAGUCUAGGCUGGGAUGUAGCUCAGUGGCAAAGCAUCUUCCUUGCAUUCACAAAGCCCUGGGUUCAACCCCCAGUUCCAAAAAAGACCAAAGGAAAAAAAAAAAGAACCCCACCAAAGUCUAACGAUGUGCUGAUGUGGCCUUAUGUUAGCUGAAUUCAGGUUUAUUCAGGAGGCACUGAUGAUUCUGCAUCACAUCAGCAGAGCUUCUAGAGACAUGAAGUAGAUGUGAUGCUGAACCUACCUAUGGAGCCUUUGUAGCACAAACAGGAGUCCGCACGUGGGGAGAAACGAGUGCACAGAAAACUCCGACCAUUUCUUUCAUUCAACAGAACUGAAGGCCUGCUCUGAGUUCCCCUGGGAUAAGUCCCCUAGUUAACUUCCUGACAGGUUUACAGAGAACUGAGAAGGGACCAUGAGGCCUCUGAUCUCUGGCCUGGCCCCUUUGUCACUUGCAGAUCUUGUCUCUAAUUCCUGAGGCCCCUUUCCACCCGCUAUGGGUGUCAUCUUUCCCUCGGGAUCUUUUCUCCCCUUUAAGUCUGUCCCAGCCAGCUGUCCCCUUACUGACUUGUCCCUGCCUCCCUCAGCAAAUUGUUUCCACAUUUAUCUGCUCCCUCUCCAAAUUCUGCCUCUCCCUGUCACUGGCGUCUGUCCCUGUUUGUUCCUGGCUUGCAGGCAUCGGCCCAUAUCUGUCUCCAAGUCUUACCAGUUCUCACUUUGAAAUUCUUCUCACAACACCAGGAGCACAGUGCGGUUGGAGACCAUCUGGGGAAUGUGGGGGCUGGGUCCAGAACUUCUGUGCUCAGAUGGCAGAGUUCAGCAACCUCCGUGGCCCAGGAAUAAUCUUUAAAGUGAGGAGAACACUGACAGAUAACAUUUGUGGAAUGUUUUCAUGUCAUGGACACUGCUAAGCCAUCUGUGGUGCUCAUGAGAUGGCUAGAAUACACAGGUUGUGAGCAUUUCCAGAGGGUGCCUGUGAAGCUCUUUGAUGCCUAACUCUCAACAUGAAGCAUUUAUAUGAAAAUAAUUUUUCCCAUGCAUUUCCACUUAGUUUAGGCCCUCAAUCCUCAAAGCCAGUCCUGUCACUACUUUACGUGUGUGUGUCUGUGUGUGUUUACUGAAGAUUAAACCCAGAGCACUUUACCAUUGAGCCACAUCCCCCCAGUCUUUUUACAUUUUUAAAUUUUUUUUUAAAGAGAGAGGUGAGAGAGAGAGAGACAGAGAAUUUUUUAUAUUUAUUUUUUAGUUUUUGGCGGACACAACAUCUUUAUAUGUGGUGCUGAGGAUCGAACCUGGGCUGCACGCAUGCCAGGUGAGCGCGCUACCGCUUGAGCCACAUCCCCAGCCCUAUUUACAUUUUUGAUACAGCAUCUAUCUCUCUUAGUUGCUCAGGGCCUUACUAAAUUGCUGAGACUGGUCUCGAACUUGUGAUCCUCUGCUUCCGCCUCCCAAACUGCUGGGACUACAGCCAUGCACCACCAUGCCCAGCUCUUUGAAAAUCUUAAUGCUGUCUCCAUUUUACACAUGCAAGCCAUCAAUAAUACUUCUGAUGAGGCUACCUUCAAAAUGUGUCUAAGGGGCUAGGGUGAAGCUGUAACUCAUGGUAGAGCCCUUGCCUAGCAAGUGCAAGAUCCUGAGUUCCAUCCCCAACAUUGCAAAGAAAAAAAGAGUGUGUGUGUGUGUCUGUGUCUAACUGCUUCUCACCACCCUGAGUACAACCUCCUACUGGUCACUCUGCUUCUACCUUUGUCCUGUUCCUAUCUGUUCUCAAAAGGCAGCUGCAGGGAGCCUGUUGAAACCUAGGUCAGCUCAGUCCCUCCUCUCUCAAAAUUCACCAAUGGCUCCCAAGUGAGCCCAGGCCCCACAAAGAGCCCCAUGAUAUGGCCUCUCACUCCCCAGACCCCUCUCCCACUUUUCUCCCUCUCAUGCUAUGCCCCAGGCACACUGGCUGUGAGGUUCCCCAGGCACAUCUGGAAUGCAGUUGCCUCGGGGACUUUGCACUUACUGCUCUUGCACAGGAAUGCUCCGUCCCCUAGGAAUCCCACGUGGUUCCGUCCCUCCCUGCUUCAAGUCUUGGCCCAAAGUUCACUUUUCAGCGAGAUCUUUCCUACCUUCAAUAAAACUAACCCUCCCUGUCACUCUGCAUCCCCACUUCCCUUUUCUCCUUCCUGCUUUCUUUUCCUCCAUAGCACCUUUGACCUCACCCACUGUAAAAUUUGUUCACCUCUCACUUAUUGCAUAUCCCCUCCCACUCUAUGAAGGCAGGCCGGGGUUUGUGCCUGUUUUGCUCACCAGUACAUCUCCAGAGCUGCUGUAAAGCCUGACAUAUAGUAGGCACAUGAUAGAAAUGUACUGGAUACUUAAUGAAAAUCACUCGUCUGGACAGUCCUCAAAUGUGAGGUAGUCAGCUCUCAGCUUCACUCGCCAGCCUCCUGGCCACCAGAGUAGUGGUUAGAUUCGAAGACAGCCCACAAAAACCUGAGCCCCCAAUAUACCUGGUGACCUUGCCCCACAGGAAUCUCCAUUGCUACCAUGAAACCAGGGAGCAUUUUCAGGAGCAGUAACAGAAGCUUCCUGGGAGAGAGGAUUUCAGUGCUAUGAGGACAGGCAGUCUGUCAGUGCAUUUCCCAGGGACUGGGCCUGGCCUCCUGGCACACAACAUUCCUGCCUCCUCCUGACAACCUUGCUUCACCUCCACUGCUAGCUGCCUCUUUCAUAGGCUUCCAACCUCCCAGGCUCCAUCACCCCAGUCUCUCCCCUAAGCAGACAUAGUGCCCUCUGGUUUCCCCAGGGGCCACUGACCCUAAAGCUUAGGAGACAGGAAUCUGGCCUUGUCUGCCCCAAAGGUGAGCCUUUGGAGUUGCAGUGAGGGGAGGGAGAAUCCCAGCAAGUCUAAAGAGGGAAGAACAGAAGAGGGAAGGAAGAGCUAAGUGGAGAGGCUGGAGGGAUCAUCAUGAAUUGUUGCUAGAAGGCUUGUCUGUAUGCUGGUGGUGACCACUGAAUACUGUGGAACCUUUGAAGAUGUUUAUUUGAGUUUUGUUGUUGUUGUUUUUACCAGGGAUUGAACCCAGGGGCACUGCUUAACCGCUGAGCCUCAUCCCCAGCCCUUUAAUUUUUAUUUAGAGACAGGGACUUGCUGAGUUGCUUAUGGCCUCACUAAUUUGCUAAGGCUGACUUUGAACUUGUGAUCCUGCUUGCCUUAGCCUCCCUAGACGCUGGGAUGACAGGCAUACACUAGGAUAAGUCUCCCAGCUUAUUUGAGCCUUUGAUGAUGUUUAUUUGCAGGAAUAACUCUCCACUUGGUACCUGGAGAAAGAUUCCUGGUCCCUCUUUUUACUUACAGGGUACUUCUGGCCUAGAGCAGGGUAAAUAAACCACAGUCUAACCCCAAAUCACUUUAGUAUUGAAGAACCAAACCUUCCAAAGAUGUAAGAUAUGAAUAUUAGUAUGAAAUGAGGUUGAGAUGAUUUUUGACUGCAGAAUCCAGAAUCUCAAAUAUUGUCUUUAACUACCCACUUUGCAGCAAAGGUCUUCAAUGGCAAUACAUGCAUAGAAGAUACUGGCUGCAGAAAGUUCUUCAUCAACCUGAGCCUAUUUCCUUGUGAGCUAGACUCCAUGCGUAAACAAUUAUUUGUUCAGGUCAUGCAGUCUCUGAAGACUGACCAAAACCACCCAGAAAUGGCAACAUCUCAACAGCUGGUAUGUGCACCCCAGGCUUGAAAGCCCCAUCUAUGUCAAGGCUAGGACUUCUAGAGGCCUGGUUCUUGUGCCCCACAUUUGUCUUUUCAGAUGCAUGAAAGCAAAACACUUGAGAUGAACCUCUCCUCACAAAGCCCCACCUCUGCUCCGGAAGCACUAGACUUUGCAUAUGCAAAGAGUAAUGACCAGCCCACUACUUUGAGUUAUCUACGAUCUUACAAUGUUUCAAGGAUUCCAGUUGCAUGGUUGUCUGAACAAAAGAGGGAUGGAUUGACAGGUAAUUAUGAAUCUUCUCCAGCUGCCUAGAACACAGACAGCUACAUAAGCAGGAGGCAGAUAAUCCACCCACUUGUUCCCAAUCAAACCAUUUUCCAGAGUCUCCUGAAUUCUUUGCAAGACCCCCCAGGCUGUAGAAUACACCACUCACUCAGGGGUAGUGAUAACCAAGAGAUGGGGACAAGGAUAAAGGGAAGGUAUCAAAUGACAGGGAUGAUCCUGGAGCAGGACAGUAUUACCCCCAGAUGGGGAUGGGGUGGGGUUGGCGGAGUUCUGGUUGUGUGCUGUUUCUUUUUUUGUUUUUUCUUUUUUAGUUGUAGUUGAACACAAUAUCUUUAUUUUAUUUAUUUUACUUUUUUAAAAUAUUUUUUAGUUGUAGUUGGACACAAUACCUCCAUUUUAUUUAUUUAUUUGUAUGUGAUGCUGAGAAUCAAACCCAGCGCCUCACUUGUGCUAGGCGGGUGCUCUACCACUGAGCCACACCCCCAGCCCUGUUCUGUUUCUUAAUCUGAGAUGCAUUCACCUGGCAGGUAGAUCUCCUAUAAAAGGACACCUGUGUUUGUCAAUUUACACAGAAAGGGUAUGCAUCAUUCUACCACUGUGCUUUUUCUGAGAAGCCCUUUGUCCCUUGAAUGGCCUACCUCACAAAGCUUCUGCCUUCUUCCUCCCUUUCUGUCUUUGUUCUCCUCCACGCCUUUCCCUGUCUUCCCACCUCUCUUUGGUGCUGGGAAUUAAACACAAGGUUUAUACACUCUAAACAAGUGAUCUACCACUGAGUUACAGCCCCAGCUGCUCUGCUGAUUAGUAAUCAUCAUACAAUUUUUUUUUUCAAUUUUGAAUUUUAAAAUAAUUUUAAACUAAAAAAAAAAAAAGUCGAUUCAAGAAUAGCAGAAAGAGAGGGGCUGGGGAUGUGGCUCAAGCCGUAACGUGCUCACCUGGCAUGCGUGAGGCACUGGGUUCGAUCCUUAGCACCACAUAAAAAUAAAAUAAAGACAUUGUGUCCACCUAUAACUAAAAAAUAAAUAUUAAAAAAGAACAGCAGAAAGAGGCCAGGUAUGGUAGCCCAUGUCCCUAAUCUCACUGACUCAGGAGACUAAAGCAGGAGGAUUGUAAUUUUGAGGCCAGCUUUGGCAAUUUGGCAAGCUAACCCUAACCCUCAAUCUGUCUCAAAAUAAAAGGUUUGGGGAUGUAGCUCAGGGGUAUAGCACUCUGGGUUUGAUUCCCAGUAUGGGGUUGGGCGGAACUAGCAGAAAGUACCCCAUACCCCCAACUGUUAAAAACUCCACAUGUAGUUUCAGCAGUGCUUGUGCUGAAUACACUUGCAUCAUUUCUUCUGUGCUUCUACUGUAAAGAAGAGCUUUGGUUCUCCCCAAUUUCCUUUUUGUUUGCUUGGGUGCCUGCUUUUCACUGAGUCAGGGUCCCUUAGGAACACUGCUGGGAAGUUCCUACAGUAGCUAACUAAGUGCAUCCUCUGUGGUCCAGGAAGCGCACUUGGCAGCCCUGCAUCCACUGCCUCUGUUCCCUAGGUGAUGUGCACAGAUGACACUCGCACUUGGUCCACUUUCUGUUACUGAUAAAAGAAUACAACAGACUGGGUUAAAAAAAAAGAAAGAAAAAAGAUUGAACCCAGGGGUACUUUACCACUGAGCCACAUCCCCAGCCCUUCUUUGUGUUUUAUUUUGAGACAGGGUCUCAAAAUAAGCCCUAAGUUGCUUAGGGCUUCAGUAAAUUGUUGAGGCUCACCUGAAACUUGAAUCAUCCAGCCUCAGCCUCCCGAGUCAGAGUCACUGGGAUUACAGGAGUGAGCCACUAUUCCUGGACCAGGUAAAAUAUUUUUAAAACAGGUUUAUUGGACUUAAGGUUCUGGAGUUCCAAAGUUGAGGAGACCCAUCUGGCAAGGCCUUCUUAGUGAUAGAGACUCUCCAGAGUCCCAAGGUGGCACAGGGCGUCAUCUAGCAAAACAAUAAGCUGCGUCUCUCUCCCUCUUCUAAUAAAGCUGCUAAUGCCAUCCCGGGGCCUCUCCACUGACUUCUUCUAACCUUCUCUCUCAAAGGUCCCAUCUCCAGAUACCACAGGUGGAUUAAAUUUCAGCCCUCUUAAUAACUCAUUGCUGGGAUUACAAUUCAACAAGAAAGCUGGGAGGCUAGCCAGCUCCUCUGGAGGCUGGGCAAGGAGACUGGGGCCAGCCUUGGCAAUUUAGCAUGAACUUGUCUUAAAUUAAAAAGGGCUGGGAAGUGGUUUAGUGGUAAGAAUGCCCUGAGUUCAAUCCCCAGUACUGGGUUGGGGUGGGGAACACCACCUCAAAAUGAGGUUCUGGGGUGACAAACCAUUUUCAGACUGCAGUAAGCCCCAAACUGGAAUUUACCACAUGCCCAUCACAGGGAGAUCAGUAGGAACGAAGGUGCACAGACACUUUCAUGAGCAAAAUAAUUGAGCAAAAAAAUGCUAGAUCCAGAAGGGUGCAUGCUGUGGCGCUCAAGGUUCAAGUGGUUCCUAGUGGUCUGCAGAGCUGGAAGCCAGGACAUGAGCAACCUUCCCAUGGGAGUGGAGCAAGGGUGUGUCAAUAACAUUCAUGAAAUAAUAUUAUAUUAUCCAGUACUGGGGAUUUGAACUAGGAGUUUUCUACUACCCACUUACAUCCCCAGUCAUAAUAAUUUUUUAUUUUUUUUUGGGGGGGGGGGGUUUGGGGAUUGAACUCAGGGGCACUCCACCACUGAGCCACACCCCGCCCGCCCUAUUUUGUAUUUUAUUUAGAGACAGGGUCUCACUGAGUUGCUUAGUGCCUCACUUUUGCUGAGGCUAGCUUUGAACUCAAGAUCCUCCUGCCUCAGCCUUCCAAGCCAGUAGGAUUACAGGCAUGGGCCACGGCACCUGGCCGUUUUUUAUUUGUUAUUUGUUCAUUUUUAUUUUGAGAUAAUGCUGAAUUGCUGAAGCUGGCCUCAAACUUGUGCUCCUUCUGUCUCAGCCUCCUCAGUCACUGGAAUUAAAGGCAGGCCCAGUUACUACUUGGCCUUUGAGACUGGGGGUGUCCUGCUGCAGGAGAAGCUAGUAUCCUUUGUCAAAGAGCUAAAUCACACCUAGCCAGGAAGUCAGACACCUCAGGAAAUCUUGGAGAGGAAGAGGAACGAACGCAGGGAAGCUUCAGGCCAGCUGCUGGCCCAGGCCGAUGUGAGCCACCUGACAAAUGCGCCCUUGGUAUCCACUAGUGCCAGGGCCUUGCCUUGGGAUGCUGAACAGACAGCAGUCUGCUUCUUGCUUCUCUUCUGCCUUCCCAACGGUGCAGAAAGUGUGUAACCAGCUCACAAGUUGACACCUCGCAGAUCCUCUACCUGGCUUAUUAGCUAGGCACCUUCCUUCAUCUCAUUUGAAAUGUGAAUGACAAUCACCUAUGAAAGGACAGGAGAAUUAAAUGAAAUAAUGUGUUCUAGCCUAGAAUAUAACACUCUAAUUUUGUUGAGUGAGUUGAUUCCUUUACUAAAUUAGAUGAUCAAGAAUGUGCUUUUUGGGUGGACUGGAGCUGGGGCUGGGGCUCAGCGGUAGAGCGCUUGCCUAGCCUGUGCGAGGCCCUGGGUUCGAUCCUCAGUGUCAGAUCAGGUGAGGCAGGUAGCAACCAAAGGAGGCAGAUUUAAAAAGACAGCUGAACGAGGCUUUAUUUGAGACUCACUCCCAGGCGGAACUCAAUCAGCCCAACAGAGUGGACAGGAGGAGGAUCUGAGGAGAAACCACAUGGGAACUUAACCGGACUGGACUUUUAUGGGGCUCACAGCAGGAAGGGAAGGGCUUGGGACAGGAAAAGGUGUUCUUAGGGUCCCUUGUCCCAUUGGAGUUGGUCAGGGGAGGUGGCUAACUCCAGGAUUGGCCGGGGAGUCCUGCUGAUUGACAGGCAUUUCCGCAGGCACCUGAUUGAUGUUCCUUUCCCCAUGGGCUGCUUUGUUUUAAGUUGCCACCAAGACGCCACCACCUACCUAACACUCUGCACCACAUAAAAAUAAAUAAAAAAAUAAAGGUAUUGACAACUACAGCUAAAAAAUAAAUAUUAAAAAAAAAUGUGCUUUUUUGGGCUGUGGUUGUGGCUCAGUGGUAGAGCACUUGCCUGGCAUGUGCAAGGCACUGGGUUCGAUCUUCAGCACCACAUAAAAAUAAAUAAAUAAAAUAAUGCUAUUGUGUCCAAAAAAAAGAAUGUGCGUUUGGUUUGAACUCAACAAAGAUCAUUAGUCCUUUAAAAUGUGAAAGGAAAGAGAGGAACCGGGAGAAAUGAAAGAUGGAGACCAGGCAGAGAUACACAGGAGAGUUUAUUUGUCAGAAAUGACAAAUAAAGGCACAUCUCUCCCUAGAUAAAGACAGGCAAGACCAGUUUGGGGUUAGGGACUUUUAUGGGGCAGACUUAGGGAUUAGAGCCGGGUAGGCCUUAAUUCUGGCAGUUAAGGGUAGAGUUGUUAAGAGACAGUGGUGAGCCUUUCUCAGAAAUGCCCUUGGGUGGGAAAGCAAAAUUUUUCUUAAAAUGGUGCCUGCCACUUAAGAUGGCCAUCCAGAUGCUAAGCAAGGACUUUACAAAAUGUUAAGAAUAAUUACAUGAAAAUCUAGGAUCAAGUAAUAAAAUUAUAAAUCUUUUAUCCAUUUCUGUAGAUCAAAAAGCUUGAUGCUAUAAGUUCCCAUACUUAAAUUUCAUCUUCUCAUAACUGCUUUUUAAAAAGCAGGUUAUAGGGCCUGGGGAUGUGGCUCAAGCGGUAGCGCGCUCGCCUGGCAUGCGUGUGGCCCAGGUUCCAUCCUAAGCACCACAUACAAAGAUGUUGUGUCCGCUGGUUGAGAAGUAAAAAUAAAUAUUAAAAGAAGAAAAAAUUCUCUUGGUUACACAUCCACAUUUAAAAAAAAAAAAAAAAGGUUACAAAGUAGAAUUCAAAAUGUGGUUCCAUUUUUGUAAAAAUUAUUUUAUACAAAAUGGCCCCCUGAUCAAACACCUGGGUUUCUCUCUGGGCUUUACCUGUGCUAGUGAUAUGUGCAAAUUAGAAGAACACAGCAACUGUUUUAUUUAAUAAAAGAGGAGAGUGACAGUUCUUACCACCAGAAUUUGGCAUGAGUAUCUACUGAGAAAAUCUGAGUGACUGUUUAAAAUAGAACUUGUCAGGUAGGCACUAUGAUGCAGGCCUGUAAUCCUAAUGACUUGGGAGGCUGAGGCAGGAGGACCGCAAGUUCCAGACCAGCCUCAGCAAUUUAGUAAGGCACUAAGCAACUUAGAUUCUCCCUCAAAAUAAACAAUAAAAAGUGUCCUGGGGGCUAUUCCCAGUACCAAAAAAAAAAAAAAACCAACAAA
Molecule: long non-coding RNA, 12687 nt
Organism: Marmota monax (woodchuck)
Lineage: Eukaryota; Metazoa; Chordata; Mammalia; Rodentia; Sciuridae
Exons: 2
Source: RefSeq, a predicted model, not a curated record